GCGAGAUUCCGAAGCUGAUCAGACGGUUUAUUUUUCCUUGUAUAGUAUUAGUACUAAUGAAAAGGUUAACGCGUCUUUUAUUAACACCAAUUUUCCGUGAUCUUUUCAUAGUGAUUCAAAAUAAUAUGAAGAAAAAAAAAAACUGAAGAAAGGUAACUCGUUGCGAUUUAUACUAAUAGCAUUUUUCUACAUGGAUGAAUUUAAAAAGGCUUAAUCAUGAAACGCUAUAAGAGAAUUGUAGUCCACCUUUAAUAAGAAAAUGAUGAAAGAUUUUUUUUUUCAUACUAGACUUUUAU
Molecule: long non-coding RNA, 296 nt
Organism: Hylaeus volcanicus
Lineage: Eukaryota; Metazoa; Arthropoda; Insecta; Hymenoptera; Colletidae
Exons: 3
Source: RefSeq, a predicted model, not a curated record